CGACCGGCGCACGGGUGAGUAACGCGUGGGUAACCUGCCUCAUACAGGGGAUAACAGUUGGAAACGGCUGCUAAUACCGCAUAAGCGCACAGUACCGCAUGGUACGGUGUGAAAAACUCCGGUGGUAUGAGAUGGACCCGCGUCUGAUUAGGUAGUUGGUGGGGUAACGGCCUACCAAGCCGACGAUCAGUAGCCGACCUGAGAGGGUGACCGGCCACAUUGGGACUGAGACACGGCCCAA
This 241-nucleotide ribosomal RNA is filed under the name uncultured bacterium. RNAcentral describes it as "partial 16S ribosomal RNA". It matches the Rfam family "Bacterial small subunit ribosomal RNA", at positions 92 to 334 of the family's 1533-position model. The record is from RNAcentral.